Molecule: long non-coding RNA, 1355 nt
Organism: Dalotia coriaria
Lineage: Eukaryota; Metazoa; Arthropoda; Insecta; Coleoptera; Staphylinidae
Exons: 5
Source: RefSeq, a predicted model, not a curated record
UGUUUUGCCUAGCUUGAAGAACAUUUCUACAUUUAUUUAGUUGCAGUGACUCUGUCGCAGGGGACGCAUGUGCUCAGUGUUGUUAAACAACUAAAUAUUAAUAUAAGUGAAUACGUCGAAAAUAUAGUGAUAAAAUGAACAUUUCAGUUCAGUGCUGUGAUUCAUAUGUAAUCUUGGCUGUGAGUGUUGUCCGUCAUUUCCACUUCUGUUACCUUUGGGGGAUCCGAUAGAAAAUGGUACAUUCAGAUAUUACAAACAUAAGAAUUGCCGGAAUUGUUUCAAAGUGAUAAUGAAAUACUGGAAAUUUGCAAAUUAUGUGUUUUCUUUUUUAGAUUUGGGACUUGUAUUGCACCGGACUUGCCAUGAUGUUUCUCAAGAACACCUAAAAAGGGGAUUUUGCACCUGAGUCUGACAUCGUAGAUGGACCACUCUUGCAACAAAUUGGAUUUUGCACCUGACUCUGACAUCGUAGAUGGACCAUUCUUGCAUCAGAUUGUAAGUAUUAAAUUUCUUUAUCAGUUUCCUAAAUAACUUUUGGGAUUAUCUUACAAAUUAACCACCAAAAUUGCAUUUUUAUGUUCGACGGAUUCAUUUUUGAUUGUUUUAGGGAUUUCACUUAAUUAUUUAGGAUUUUUGGAAAACAAGCAGAGCGUUACUCAAAUCAAAUUGAAUGAAUCAAAAGUAAUAAAUACUACUCUGAUGUUUUUAAUUUUGUUUUGUGUCUGAUAUGUUGCUUGUGUCGGCGCAGCGCGUCAGUUUUCUUGCUUAUUUAGAAAGUACUGGUAGGGGCUACUCGUAUCUGCUUUGUUUACGCCUGAUAUUAAUUCUCUUUACACUUUAGUCGAUCGCGCGCUGUGCUACGGUUAGCACGUGUUUUGUUCAUCAGUCGAUCUUCGUAGCGACUUUUCGCGUUUCUUACUUUAAUUCUGUAAUUGCCUUCAUCGGCCUUUCGUAACAGGCUAAUGUGGUGCAACCCCAAUUAAUCAUCGGUUCACCUGUGCGCUAGGGAUGUUCGUUCGGCCGACCGUCGCUAGAUAUUAUUCGGUUGUGGAAUUAUCUGCAACCGUGUUGGUCUUUAUGUGCGCCGCGUGCGUGUUCAUCGGCAGUCGUUUAUCUUCUCGAAUAUUGGCAAAACUUGGGUUUAUUAUUAAUUCCUGCUGAUAGACAAUGUUGGUGCUCAGUUUUUGAGUAUGGGAGUCAUGGAAUCUGCGAUAUCCAUGAAAGAAGAAUUGGAGAUGCGCACAUUUUACGGUAAGUCUUUACUGCUACAAGAUUUGAGAUUCGUCAAUGUUUUUUUAUUUGAAAGAUAUAUGUAUUUUAAAUGUUGUCAAUAAAACACAUUGUAAUGUUAUAAA